Molecule: small nuclear RNA, 198 nt
Organism: Cebus imitator (Panamanian white-faced capuchin)
Lineage: Eukaryota; Metazoa; Chordata; Mammalia; Primates; Cebidae
Product: U2 spliceosomal RNA
Exons: 1
Source: RefSeq, a predicted model, not a curated record
AUCGCUUCUCGGCCUUUUGGCUAAGAUCAAGUGUAGUAUCUGUUCUUACCAGUUUAUUCAUACUAUCUUUUAAUAGAACCUCACCAUUCUUAACACUAACAAUGUACUAGACACUUUGUGUCUUAUUUGAUUCUUACAACAGUCAUAUAGGAUGGGUUGUAUUGCCUCCAUUUGAGUAACUUGCCCAAGUUCACCCAG